UUCCGGUUGAUCCUGCCGGACCUGACUGCUAUCGGAUUGAUACUAAGCCAUGCGAGUCAUUGUAGCAAUACAAGGCAUACGGCUCAGUAACGCGUAGUCAACCUAACCUAUGGACGGGAAUAACCUCGGGAAACUGAGAAUAAUGCCCGAUAGAACACUAUACCUGGAAUGGUUUGUGUUCCAAAUGAUUUAUCGCCAUAGGAUGGGACUGCGGCCUAUCAGUUUGUUGGUGAGGUAAUGGCCCACCAAGACUAUUACAGGUACGGGCUCUGAGAGGAGUAGCCCGGAGAUGGGUACUGAGACACGGACCCAGGCCCUAUGGGGCGCAGCAGGCGAGAAAACUUUGCAAUGUGCGAAAGCACGACAAGGUUAAUCCGAGUGAUUUGUGCUAAACGAAUCUUUUGUUAGUCCUAGAAACACUAACGAAUAAGGGGUGGGCAAGUUCUGGUGUCAGCCGCCGCGGUAAAACCAGCACCUCAAGUGGUCAGGAUGAUUAUUGGGCCUAAAGCAUCCGUAGCCGGCUCUGUAAGUUUUCGGUUAAAUCUGUACGCUUAACGUACAGGCUGCCGGGAAUACUGCAAAGCUAGGGAGUGGGAGAGGUAGACGGUACUCGGUAGGAAGUGGUAAAAUGCUUUGAUCUAUCGAUGACCACCUGUGGCGAAGGCGGUCUACCAGAACACGUCCGACGGUGAGGGAUGAAAGCUGGGGGAGCAAACCGGAUUAGAUACCCGGGUAGUCCCAGCUGUAAACUAUGCAAACUCAGUGAUGCAUUGGCUUGUGGCCAAUGCAGUGCUGCAGGGAAGCCGUUAAGUUUGCCGCCUGGGAAGUACGUACGCAAGUAUGAAACUUAAAGGAAUUGGCGGGGGAGCACCACAAGGGGUGAAGCCUGCGGUUCAAUUGGAGUCAACGCCGGG
This 914-nucleotide ribosomal RNA is filed under the name uncultured crenarchaeote. Its description in RNAcentral is "bacterial SSU rRNA". It matches the Rfam family "Archaeal small subunit ribosomal RNA", at positions 1 to 922 of the family's 1478-position model. RNAcentral also lists the same sequence under 1 other name. Lineage: Archaea; Thermoproteati; Thermoproteota. The record is from RNAcentral.